Molecule: long non-coding RNA, 1312 nt
Filed under: Canis lupus familiaris (dog)
Lineage: Eukaryota; Metazoa; Chordata; Mammalia; Carnivora; Canidae
Description: lncRNA (ENSCAFG00040020388.1)
Source: RNAcentral
AUGGGCCCAGCUGCAGCCUGGCUCUUCACAGCAGUGAGGUGCCUGGCAGCCUCUCACUGCCCCUGGCUCCGCUCCAUUGAGUCAGCCUCUCCACCACCCCCUCCACUUCCUGGCAGCUGGACCAGGAGGCUGGAAGCUAGAGGCAAACUGUGGCACCUGGCUGUGUGGUCUGCCACUAAUGACAGCCCCCGCCGAAUCAUGCCUCAAUUGCUGUACCUUUCCUUCAUAAAGGUCCAAAUGAGAAAAAGGGAAGGGAUGAAAGGGAUUUUCCUGGAAAUCACGGUUAAUUUUCUGUUAAAUUGAGUGUAAAGUGUUGGCGUCAGGAAAUUCUAGACUGUUUUUCUCUCUGUAUUUUUUUCUUUAGUUUCCUAAAUCAUUGUUUCACCUUUAAAGGCUCUAUUGAUUUUCUUCACUGUGUCACAGCUUGGAAACAAGUGUUUGCUAGUUACUUAUAAAAGUCACCUAAGUAGUCAGCUGGGAAGCCAAUCACAUUGGUUUGGAUAUCAGCCUGACUAACUAUUUGUGUGUCUGAAUCUGGAGAACUAUCUUCAUGGAAAAUUUUUUUGCCCUUUCUGACCCUCUCUUCCCUCCACUUGUUAAAGGGAGGAUUUAAAAAUAUAGGAUGUAAAAAUUUCUUUCCAAUACAAAGUGAUUUUUGCUGCUUAUGAUGCAGCAUGUCAUCACAUAGCAUUACAUAUGUAAUCUUAACAAACACACAAUAAGAACAUACAUAGUCACCACUAACUCCAUAUUUUCUUACAUCUUAAAUUAGAUGAAAACAGAUAUAAUUACGUAAGGAUUAAACCUCAGACUUAUUUUUGUAUACCCGUAAUAUGUACAAACAUGAAGGUUUAUUUUUCAGGAGUGUGUAAUGAUAACGAUAUUUGUGAUUAUCAUGCCAAACGAAUAUGAAACAAUUAUAUUUUAUAAUUUUAGGCCUAGAAUCUGGGAAUUCUGAGUCUCAGUCCAAGAUUUCUUGACAAAAUGCCAUGGCUGAGGCUUAAUUUUCAGCUUUAGUACAAGGGACAUAUUUAUUGUUUCUCAGCUAUUUAAAAAAUGUACUUGUGUUUUCAGAUGCUACUUCUCCGCUAGCUAGAGUAGUUAUCUAACUUAUACAACCACUCACCAAACCUGCUGCAGUAGCAAGUGUUCAUCACGUUUAUUGUAUGCAAAAGUCCAUACCUCAAUGAUGCCUAAAAGUUUUUCAAACUAAGGCUCUGAGUUUUUGUAAAUUUUACUUAAUAAACCAAUUAAACUAUAUUCAUUAUGAUCCCUGGAGGGUUAUCUGCCAAGACAAUGCUCUUACAACUAA